This is a long non-coding RNA of Oryzias melastigma (Indian medaka), 568 nucleotides long. RefSeq lists it as uncharacterized. NCBI's taxonomy places the organism in Eukaryota, Metazoa, Chordata, Actinopteri, Beloniformes, Adrianichthyidae. The transcript has 2 exons. The record is from RefSeq and is a predicted model, not a curated record.
UUAAUUUGUUUCUGAAUAAUUUCUGAAAACAUUUUACCAUUUUUCUCAGCAAAAGCGAUGGCAUCUUCCUUUGAGGAGAACGACAGCACCAUGUUGGAAAGGGGAUCGGCUCUGAAACGCACAAUUUGCACAAGUCACAAAAAUGGAGGGGAUACUGUAUAUUUGCUGGGAUAACGUGGAUCCUGUGUUUGAUCAACCGGACAGCAGAGGGUUCCACCAACAACGUGGCAGAACCCGAGGAACGUCCGACCCGACAGGAGCCGGCGGCUCUGUGGGAAGCAAACUGGAAGCCCAGAGAAUCUGUGGCUAACCUCCCGGUCGGUCAGCUCAGCCUCAGAUGUCUUUUGUCUCCCCUGACUGCUCGCAGCUCAUUAGGGGGCAUGAAAGUGGUUGUGACAUUAACUGGCUGGAAGGGCUGUGGUCUUUGUUUGGCUUCAGUCCUUUAGUGGAGAAAGUGGUGAGGGGAAAAAAAGGAAGACAAUCCUCAACAAACAUCCAGGAUGAAGAAUGCUAGGAAAGUGUGGAAGCAGAUUGGUUCAAAGUGUUUGGAGUCUGUGCAAAAAAAAAA